Molecule: long non-coding RNA, 394 nt
Organism: Callorhinchus milii (elephant shark)
Lineage: Eukaryota; Metazoa; Chordata; Chondrichthyes; Chimaeriformes; Callorhinchidae
Exons: 2
Source: RefSeq, a predicted model, not a curated record
CAAGUUUUUCUUCAAUUUGGAAAUGUAGAAUGAAAGACCUUCAGCAUGUUUUGUAGUCUUUGUCUGAAUUUGGAAUUAUGCCUAAAGAAGGCUGAUUUGGUAGCUCAUGACAGCUAGUCAAUGCAAAAACUGAUUACAUGUUGUCUUCAUCAGAUUCAUCAUCUUCCUCAAGAGAAUCCUAAGGAAGAAAAACCCAAUGUAAGUGGUUUCAACAAGGGAAGGAGAAAUGUUUUACUUCAAAAUAAUUGUAAAUGAUUAUGUAAAUUGCAUUCUUACUUUGGCGUAUUUUUCGGCUUCUUCUUUGAUGUCUUUCGGUACUAAUUCAUGUCUACCUUUUGUAUCUGGAAAAGAGCCACAUUAGAAUAUUAUUUCAAUAAAGCAUUAAGGAAAUGUA